GGGGGGAGGUCGGAUCCUGGGCUGUGUCCAGGCCCCCUGUGCUCCGGAGCCUGCGCUGUUGGAUUCGCGCUCCCGGGCCCGCAGCCCCCU
RNAcentral lists this microRNA precursor (90 nucleotides) under Canis lupus familiaris (dog). Its description in RNAcentral is "mir-8799 microRNA precursor family". It matches the Rfam family "mir-8799 microRNA precursor family". RNAcentral also lists the same sequence under 1 other name. Lineage: Eukaryota; Metazoa; Chordata; Mammalia; Carnivora; Canidae. The record is from Rfam by way of RNAcentral.